Molecule: ribosomal RNA, 1411 nt
Filed under: Escherichia coli
Lineage: Bacteria; Pseudomonadati; Pseudomonadota; Gammaproteobacteria; Enterobacterales; Enterobacteriaceae
Description: partial 23S ribosomal RNA
Rfam family: Bacterial large subunit ribosomal RNA
Source: RNAcentral
CCAGACCGCCAGCUAAGGUCCCAAAGUCAUGGUUAAGUGGGAAACGAUGUGGGAAGGCCCAGACAGCCAGGAUGUUGGCUUAGAAGCAGCCAUCAUUUAAAGAAAGCGUAAUAGCUCACUGGUCGAGUCGGCCUGCGCGGAAGAUGUAACGGGGCUAAACCAUGCACCGAAGCUGCGGCAGCGACGCUUAUGCGUUGUUGGGUAGGGGAGCGUUCUGUAAGCCUGUGAAGGUGUGCUGUGAGGCAUGCUGGAGGUAUCAGAAGUGCGAAUGCUGACAUAAGUAACGAUAAAGCGGGUGAAAAGCCCGCUCGCCGGAAGACCAAGGGUUCCUGUCCAACGUUAAUCGGGGCAGGGUGAGUCGACCCCUAAGGCGAGGCCGAAAGGCGUAGUCGAUGGGAAACAGGUUAAUAUUCCUGUACUUGGUGUUACUGCGAAGGGGGGACGGAGAAGGCUAUGUUGGCCGGGCGACGGUUGUCCCGGUUUAAGCGUGUAGGCUGGUUUUCCAGGCAAAUCCGGAAAAUCAAGGCUGAGGCGUGAUGACGAGGCACUACGGUGCUGAAGCAACAAAUGCCCUGCUUCCAGGAAAAGCCUCUAAGCAUCAGGUAACAUCAAAUCGUACCCCAAACCGACACAGGUGGUCAGGUAGAGAAUACCAAGGCGCUUGAGAGAACUCGGGUGAAGGAACUAGGCAAAAUGGUGCCGUAACUUCGGGAGAAGGCACGCUGAUAUGUAGGUGAAGCGACUUGCUCGUGGAGCUGAAAUCAGUCGAAGAUACCAGCUGGCUGCAACUGUUUAUUAAAAACACAGCACUGUGCAAACACGAAAGUGGACGUAUACGGUGUGACGCCUGCCCGGUGCCGGAAGGUUAAUUGAUGGGGUCAGCGCAAGCGAAGCUCUUGAUCGAAGCCCCGGUAAACGGCGGCCGUAACUAUAACGGUCCUAAGGUAGCGAAAUUCCUUGUCGGGUAAGUUCCGACCUGCACGAAUGGCGUAAUGAUGGCCAGGCUGUCUCCACCCGAGACUCAGUGAAAUUGAACUCGCUGUGAAGAUGCAGUGUACCCGCGGCAAGACGGAAAGACCCCGUGAACCUUUACUAUAGCUUGACACUGAACAUUGAGCCUUGAUGUGUAGGAUAGGUGGGAGGCUUAGAAGUGUGGACGCCAGUCUGCAUGGAGCCGACCUUGAAAUACCACCCUUUAAUGUUUGAUGUUCUAACGUUGACCCGUAAUCCGGGUUGCGGACAGUGUCUGGUGGGUAGUUUGACUGGGGCGGUCUCCUCCUAAAGAGUAACGGAGGAGCACGAAGGUUGGCUAAUCCUGGUCGGACAUCAGGAGGUUAGUGCAAUGGCAUAAGCCAGCUUGACUGCGAGCGUGACGGCGCGAGCAGGUGCGAAAGCAGGUCAUAGUGAUCCG